This 148-nucleotide signal recognition particle RNA is filed under the name Pan troglodytes (chimpanzee). RNAcentral describes it as "Metazoan signal recognition particle RNA". It matches the Rfam family "Metazoan signal recognition particle RNA". From Rfam's summary of the family: The signal recognition particle (SRP) is a universally conserved ribonucleoprotein. The record is from Rfam by way of RNAcentral. Lineage: Eukaryota; Metazoa; Chordata; Mammalia; Primates; Hominidae.
GCUGGGCGUGGUGGCACACGCCUGUAAUCCCAGCUACUCGGGAGGCUGAGGCAGGAGAAUCGCUUGAACCCAGGAGGUCGAGGUUGCAGUGAGCCGAGAUUGUGCCACCGCACUCUAGCCUGGGCGACAGAGCGAGACUCCGUCUCAA